GUUUGUUAGUGUGAUUCAUAAGUGUUUUCUUUUCUCGUUUUUUUUUAUAUAGAUUAAACCGAUAGUUUUCCCGUUUGAAUAGUUUUACACUAAUUAUUCUUUGGACCCUUUAUAGUUUGCUGUUCGGUGCGAGACAAUGUUCCGUGUUGAAGACCGUACUUUGACUUAUAAUGGUUUAUUUUUACAAAUUGUGACUUGGAUAGAGAAUUGAC
This 212-nucleotide long non-coding RNA is filed under the name Mytilus galloprovincialis (Mediterranean mussel). Lineage: Eukaryota; Metazoa; Mollusca; Bivalvia; Mytilida; Mytilidae. The record is from RNAcentral.